CCUACGGGAGGCAGCAGUGGGGAAUAUUGGGCAAUGGGCGCAAGCCUGACCCAGCAACGCCGCGUGAAGGAAGAAGGCUUUCGGGUUGUAAACUUCUUUUCUCAGGGACGAAGCAAGUGACGGUACCUGAGGAAUAAGCCACGGCUAACUACGUGCCAGCAGCCGCGGUAAUACGUAGGUGGCAAGCGUUAUCCGGAUUUACUGGGUGUAAAGGGCGAGUAGGCGGGAAAGCAAGUCAGAUGUGAAACCCAUGGGCUCAACCCGUGGCCUGCAUUUGAAACUGUUUUUCUUGAGUACUGGAGAGGCAGACGGAAUUCCUAGUGUAGCGGUGAAAUGCGUAGAUAUUAGGAGGAACACCAGUGGCGAAGGCGGUCUGCUGGACAGCAACUGACGCUGAGGCGCGAAAGCGUGGGGAGCAAACAGGAUUAGAUACCCUUGUAGUC
Molecule: ribosomal RNA, 443 nt
Filed under: uncultured bacterium
Lineage: Bacteria
Description: partial 16S ribosomal RNA
Rfam family: Bacterial small subunit ribosomal RNA
Source: RNAcentral